GACGGACCGUCCGAACGUUACUCGGAAUCACUGGGCGUAAAGGGCGCGUAGGCGGUCUAGCAAGUCUGGUGUGAAAGCCCAGGGCUCAACCCUGGAAGGGCACUGGAAACUGCUAGGCUUGAGUUCCGGAGAGGAGGGGGGAAUUCCCGGUGUAGCGGUGAAAUGCGUAGAUAUCGGGAGGAAUACCGGUGGCGAAGGCGCCCCUCUGGACGGAGACUGACGCUGAGGCGCGAAAGCGUGGGGAGCAAACAGG
Molecule: ribosomal RNA, 253 nt
Filed under: uncultured bacterium
Lineage: Bacteria
Description: partial 16S ribosomal RNA
Rfam family: Bacterial small subunit ribosomal RNA
Source: RNAcentral